GGGUCCCCAGCGGCUGAAGCCCUCCGGUGUGGCUGGAUCCUCUCCUGCUCGUCUACGCUAAGCAGUGCACAGGCUCAGAAGAGAAGAGGAGAAAAGUUUAAGCUAACUGAACAGACAGGAAUCGUGGAUUACUUAGAUG
Rhea pennata is the source of this 139-nucleotide long non-coding RNA. RefSeq lists it as uncharacterized. The record is from RefSeq and is a predicted model, not a curated record. The transcript is spliced from 3 exons. Lineage: Eukaryota; Metazoa; Chordata; Aves; Rheiformes; Rheidae.